CUGCUUUCACUCAAACCUUCGCGUGAACGACUCGGACCAACCCGGAACUUUAAAGUGACCUAAUCUCUGCUGGAAACUCGAAACAAGGACUUUUCCCUGCUGCUGCUCCGAACUCCUCCGAUGAGUCCGGGAGGAAAACUCACGUUUCACUCCUGAGCUUCUUCCUCCUGGAGGCGGAAUCCAGGUUCCCAUGCUCGAGGCUCCGGCCGCGGCGGCUCCUGCAGGACAGUAGCCUCGACUCGUCUCUUCUCUCCAGUUUACAUAGUGGUGGAAUCACAAGGUGCCAAGAUGCCACAGCAGAAGGACAUAGUGAAGAUCGCCAUCCAGAUGCCUGGGGCCUAUCCCCAGCUCAUACAACUGGAUCAG
Long non-coding RNA from Pleuronectes platessa (European plaice), 366 nucleotides. RefSeq lists it as uncharacterized. The record is from RefSeq and is a predicted model, not a curated record. The transcript is spliced from 2 exons. NCBI's taxonomy places the organism in Eukaryota, Metazoa, Chordata, Actinopteri, Pleuronectiformes, Pleuronectidae.